GAACGAGAAAGUCCGCAAGGAUGAGUAAAGUGGCGACCGGGUGAGUAACACGUGACUAACCUGCCCUUGAGUGGGGGAUAACCUCGGGAAACCGGGGCUAAUACCGCAUAACAUCGCAAGAUCAAAGGAGCAAUCCGCUGAAGGAGGGGGUCGCGGCUGAUUAGCUAGUUGGUGAGGUAACGGCCCACCAAGGCGAAGAUCGGUAUCCGGCCUGAGAGGGCGCACGGACACACUGGAACUGAAACACGGUCCAGACUCCUACGGGAGGCAGCAGUGGGGAAUUUUGCGCAAUGGGGGAAACCCUGACGCAGCAACGCCGCGUGGAGGAUGAAGCCCUUUGGGGCGUAAACUCCUUUCGACCAAGACGAUAAUGACGGUACUGGUGGAAGAAGCACCGGCUAACUCUGUG
RNAcentral lists this ribosomal RNA (409 nucleotides) under uncultured bacterium. RNAcentral describes it as "bacterial SSU rRNA". It matches the Rfam family "Bacterial small subunit ribosomal RNA", at positions 64 to 507 of the family's 1533-position model. The record is from RNAcentral.